CAGUCGAGCGAGACCUUCGGGUCUAGCGGCGGACGGGUGAGUAACGCGUGGGAACGUGCCCUUUGCUACGGAAUAGUCCCGGGAAACUGGGUUUAAUACCGUAUGUGCCCUUCGGGGGAAAGAUUUAUCGGCAAAGGAUCGGCCCGCGUUGGAUUAGGUAGUUGGUGGGGUAAUGGCCUACCAAGCCGACGAUCCAUAGCUGGUUUGAGAGGAUGAUCAGCCACACUGGGACUGAGACACGGCCCAGACUCCUACGGGAGGCAGCAGUGGGGAAUCUUAGACAAUGGGGGCAACCCUGAUCUAGCCAUGCCGCGUGAGUGAUGAAGGCCUUAGGGUUGUAAAGCUCUUUCAGCUGGGAAGAUAAUGACGGUACCAGCAGAAGAAGCCCCGGCUAACUCCGUGCCAGCAGCCGCGGUAAUACGGAGGGGGCUAGCGUUGUUCGGAAUUACUGGGCGUAAAGCGCACGUAGGCGGACUGGAAAGUUGGGGGUGAAAUCCCGGGGCU
RNAcentral lists this ribosomal RNA (504 nucleotides) under uncultured bacterium. RNAcentral's name for it is "bacterial SSU rRNA". It matches the Rfam family "Bacterial small subunit ribosomal RNA", at positions 59 to 609 of the family's 1533-position model. The record is from RNAcentral.